This 691-nucleotide ribosomal RNA is filed under the name metagenome. RNAcentral describes it as "bacterial SSU rRNA". It matches the Rfam family "Bacterial small subunit ribosomal RNA", at positions 644 to 1333 of the family's 1533-position model. The record is from RNAcentral.
GAGUGCAGAAGAGGAGAGCGGAAUUCCACGUGUAGCGGUGAAAUGCGUAGAGAUGUGGAGGAACACCAGUGGCGAAGGCGGCUCUCUGGUCUGUAACUGACGCUGAGGCGCGAAAGCGUGGGGAGCGAACAGGAUUAGAUACCCUGGUAGUCCACGCCGUAAACGAUGAGUGCUAAGUGUUAGAGGGUUUCCGCCCUUUAGUGCUGCAGCAAACGCAUUAAGCACUCCGCCUGGGGAGUACGGCCGCAAGGCUGAAACUCAAAGGAAUUGACGGGGGCCCGCACAAGCGGUGGAGCAUGUGGUUUAAUUCGAAGCAACGCGAAGAACCUUACCAGGUCUUGACAUCCUCUGACAACCCUAGAGAUAGGGCGUUCCCCUUCGGGGGACAGAGUGACAGGUGGUGCAUGGUUGUCGUCAGCUCGUGUCGUGAGAUGUUGGGUUAAGUCCCGCAACGAGCGCAACCCUUGAUCUUAGUUGCCAGCAUUCAGUUGGGCACUCUAAGGUGACUGCCGGUGACAAACCGGAGGAAGGUGGGGAUGACGUCAAAUCAUCAUGCCCCUUAUGACCUGGGCUACACACGUGCUACAAUGGAUGGAACAAAGGGUCGCGAAGCCGCGAGGUCGAGCCAAUCCCAUAAAUCCAUUCUCAGUUCGGAUUGCAGGCUGCAACUCGCCUGCAUGAAGCCGGAAUC